Molecule: transfer RNA, 61 nt
Filed under: Dendrobaena veneta
Lineage: Eukaryota; Metazoa; Annelida; Clitellata; Crassiclitellata; Lumbricidae
Description: tRNA-Trp
Source: RNAcentral
AAGACUUUAAGUUAAAUAAACUAAAAACCUUCAAAGUUUUAAAUGAGUUCCUCAAGUCUUG